CAAUCUGUCGCUUAUGUUUUUUACAUAUGAGGAAAGUCCGGGCAACACAGAGCACCAUAUUUCUUAACGGGAAGCUAUCCGUGAGGGUAGAGUAAUGUAACAGAAAAUAACCGCCUUUAAAAAAGGUAAGGGUGAAAAGGUGAGGUAAGAGCUUACCGGUUUUUAUGGUAACAUAAAGAGCCGUACAUCUUAUGGGUUGUAAGGUUAUGUAUACCGACGUUGUAGGGCUGCUCGUCCGAUGUCGGGGGGUAAACCGCUAGAGCUUUAUGGUAACAUAAAGUCAAGAUAAAUGACAGAUUCCUUUUGAAAUGAAGGUACAGAACCCGGCUUAUCGGCCUACUGU
Molecule: RNase P RNA, 343 nt
Filed under: Coprobacter secundus
Lineage: Bacteria; Pseudomonadati; Bacteroidota; Bacteroidia; Bacteroidales; Barnesiellaceae
Description: Bacterial RNase P class A
Rfam family: Bacterial RNase P class A
About the family: Ribonuclease P (RNase P) is a ubiquitous endoribonuclease, found in archaea, bacteria and eukarya as well as chloroplasts and mitochondria. Its best characterised activity is the generation of mature 5'-ends of tRNAs by cleaving the 5'-leader elements of precursor-tRNAs.
Source: RNAcentral